This 447-nucleotide ribosomal RNA is filed under the name uncultured bacterium. RNAcentral describes it as "bacterial SSU rRNA". It matches the Rfam family "Bacterial small subunit ribosomal RNA", at positions 355 to 825 of the family's 1533-position model. The record is from RNAcentral.
UCGGGAAUUUUGGGCAAUGGGCGAAAGCCUGACCCAGCAACGCCGCGUGAAGGAUGAAGUAUUUCGGUAUGUAAACUUCGAAAGAAUAGGAAGAAUAAAUGACGGUACUAUUUAUAAGGUCCGGCUAACUACGUGCCAGCAGCCGCGGUAAUACGUAGGGACCAAGCGUUGUUCGGAUUUACUGGGCGUAAAGGGCGCGUAGGCGGCAAUUCAAGUCAUCUGUGAAAUCUCCGGGCUUAACUCGGAACGGUCAGAUGAUACUGCUUUGCUAGAGUGCAGAAGGGGCAAUCGGAAUUCUUGGUGUAGCGGUGAAAUGCGUAGAUAUCAAGAGGAACGCCUGAGGUGAAGACGGGUUGCUGGGCUGACACUGACGCUGAGGCGCGAAAGCCAGGGGAGCAAACGGGAUUAGAUACCCAAGUAGUCCCUGAGCGGGCUGGCAAGGCGCAU